RNAcentral lists this ribosomal RNA (253 nucleotides) under uncultured bacterium. RNAcentral's name for it is "partial 16S ribosomal RNA". It matches the Rfam family "Bacterial small subunit ribosomal RNA", at positions 524 to 776 of the family's 1533-position model. The record is from RNAcentral.
UACGGAGGGUGCGAGCGUUGUUCGGAAUCACUGGGCGUAAAGCGCGUGUAGGCGGCUUGGCAAGUUGAAUGUGAAAGCCCACGGCUCAACCGUGGAAGCGCAUCCAAAACUGCUUCGCUUGAGUCUCGGAGAGGAAGGUGGAAUGCUUGGUGUAGAGGUGAAAUUCGUAGAUAUCAAGCAGAACACCUGCGGCGAAGGCGGCCUUCUGGACGAUGACUGACGCUGAGACGCGAAAGCGUGGGGAGCAAACAGG